This 415-nucleotide ribosomal RNA is filed under the name uncultured prokaryote. RNAcentral describes it as "bacterial SSU rRNA". It matches the Rfam family "Bacterial small subunit ribosomal RNA", at positions 505 to 918 of the family's 1533-position model. The record is from RNAcentral.
GUGUCAGCAGCCGCGGUAAGACGAACCGUGCGAACGUUAUUCGGAAUCACUGGGCUUAAAGCGUGCGUAGGCGGCUUGGCAAGUUGGGUGUGAAAGCCCUCGGCUCAACCGAGGAAUUGCGCCCAAAACUGCCAGGCUUGAGGGAGACAGAGGUGAGUGGAACUAAUGGUGGAGCGGUGAAAUGCUUUGAUAUCAUUAGGAACACCGGUGGCGAAAGCGGCUCACUGGGUCUCUUCUGACGCUGAGGUACGAAAGCUAGGGGAGCGAACGGGAUUAGAUACCCCGGUAGUCCUAGCUGUAAACGAUGAGCACUAGGUCGAGGAGCCUUUCACAGUUUCUUGGCCGUAGCGAAAGUGUUAAGUGCUCCGCCUGGGGAGUAUGGUCGCAAGGCUGAAACUUAAAUGAAUUGACGGGG